GCACACCUUAACAACAAGAAGCGAACAUUCGGCUUUCCAGUGCAAACGAGCGUUUCGUCAUUUGAAAAUGACGGUUGAGACCUGUUGCAACGGACUUCAUCUCUCCCUCUUAUUCUGCUACAACGCGGACUUAUCAGUACUGCAGGUUGACUCCAUCAAAAACCAAGUGUGACUUCCCACUUCAAAUCACAUCCAGUGCUUUCCAUCGUAUUGCCGGCCUCUUGUGAUAGAGACAGCUUCAGGGGAACAUUUUGUCAGGACUCGACAAAUGAGUUGUCAGGGAACGAAGUUUUGUGACAGCAUUUUCAUCGGAGCCAGCUGCAGCUGCAAGACCUUAGACGACAAACAAGCACUACCACUGCCAAGAAAAACAUCUGCACGACUACCUGACUGCAUGAAAGGACUCGACAAUGGAGCCACCAGGGAAGGAAGUUUUGUGACAGCAUGUUCAUUGGAGCCAGCUGCAAGACCUGAGAUGACAAACAAGCACCACCACUGCCAAGAAGAACAUCUGCACGACUACCUGCCUAUUGCGGUGAUGUGUGCUACACAAGUGCACCUGUGUUGAUCUAUCUGCUUUUACUGUAGACAUGAAAGGACUCGACAAUGGAGCCACCAGGGAAGGAAGUUUUGUGACAGCAUGUUCAUUGGAGCCAGCUGCAAGACCUGAGAUGACAAACAAGCACCACCACUGCCAAGAAGAACAUCUGCACGACUACCUGCCUAUUGCGGUGAUGUGUGCUACACAAGUGCACCUGUGUUGAUCUAUCUGCUUUUACUGUAGACAUGAAAGGACUCGACAAUUGAGCCAUCAGGGAGGAAAGUUUUGUGACAGCAUUUUCAUCGGAGCCAGCUGCAAGACCUGAGAUGACAAACAAGCACUACCACUGCCAAGAAGAACAUCUGCACGACUACCUGCCUAUUGACUGCUUCUCAAGUCUUCAUGGCAAUUGCUGUGCUGAAGCGUAGAAGUAGGUGAAUUGAGUGACGUUGAGGUAAGGUUCAUCUUCAUGAUCUUUUAGUUUAUUGGGUCAGCAGGACCGCUAUAGGCCUAUGCAUGCUCGUCCGACCGGGGUGAGCCAGUCCGCCGUGAGACCAGGGGCCGGUCCAGGCCAAGCCUCCAUCGUCCCGGGAAGGUGAGAGCGUGGCCGCCGUGCGCCCUGGGGCCGGCCUGAGCCAUGCCACACCCAUCUCGGGGGAGGCGAGAGCGUGGGCUUUCGCG
This is a long non-coding RNA of Thrips palmi, 1222 nucleotides long. RefSeq lists it as uncharacterized. Lineage: Eukaryota; Metazoa; Arthropoda; Insecta; Thysanoptera; Thripidae. The transcript has 6 exons. The record is from RefSeq and is a predicted model, not a curated record.